CCAUCUACAAAGAGGACCUCCCCCUGGGUCCCAGGAGCCUUGUGCUCUCUGGCAGGCACAACCUAGUCCUCAUUUCAAAGAUUCCAAACGAUUAAAAUUUUGAUCUUUCCUAUUUUGAGGCCUUGAUAUUUGCUACAAGCAAGUAUUUCUGCAUAACUUGGGGCACGUUUUCCUCAUGGUUACCUGACCAGUCCGUUCACUGUGAACAUUGCCUACUGUGUCCACCUAUCAUGAAGAAGACCUGAAAUUCCACUGUGAGGACUCUAGCAUCACAGGUCAGGAGACAAGUAAUCUUUCUAGCAAAUAAGUUUCUCAACCUUCUGGUAGACAUGGUACAGGGA
This 341-nucleotide long non-coding RNA is filed under the name Cercocebus atys (sooty mangabey). Its description in RNAcentral is "lncRNA (ENSCATG00000045825.1)". Lineage: Eukaryota; Metazoa; Chordata; Mammalia; Primates; Cercopithecidae. The record is from RNAcentral.